This 253-nucleotide ribosomal RNA is filed under the name uncultured bacterium. RNAcentral describes it as "partial 16S ribosomal RNA". It matches the Rfam family "Bacterial small subunit ribosomal RNA", at positions 524 to 776 of the family's 1533-position model. The record is from RNAcentral.
UACAGAGGCGGCGAGCGUUGUUCGGAUUUACUGGGCGUAAAGGGUGCGUAGGCGGUCUCGCGUGUCGGAUGUGAAAUCUCAUCACUCAACGAUGGAAUGGCAUUCGAAACUGCGAGGCUUGAGUGCAGGAGGGGAGAGCAGAAUUCUCGGUGUAGCGGUGAAAUGCGUAGAUAUCGAGAGGAAUACCGGUGGCGAAGGCGGCUCUCUGGACUGCUACUGACGCUGAGGCACGAAAGCUGGGGGAGCAAACAGG